RNAcentral lists this ribosomal RNA (668 nucleotides) under uncultured Bacteroidales bacterium. RNAcentral describes it as "bacterial SSU rRNA". It matches the Rfam family "Bacterial small subunit ribosomal RNA", at positions 62 to 717 of the family's 1533-position model. Lineage: Bacteria; Pseudomonadati; Bacteroidota; Bacteroidia; Bacteroidales. The record is from RNAcentral.
UCGAGGGGCAGCAUGGUCUUAGCUUGCUAAGGCUGAUGGCGACCGGCGCACGGGUGAGUAACACGUAUCCAACCUGCCGUCUACUCUUGGCCAGCCUUCUGAAAGGAAGAUUAAUCCAGGAUGGCAUCAUGAGUUCACAUGUCCGCAUGAUUAAAGGUAUUUUCCGGUAGACGAUGGGGAUGCGUUCCAUUAGAUAGUAGGCGGGGUAACGGCCCACCUAGUCAACGAUGGAUAGGGGUUCUGAGAGGAAGGUCCCCCACAUUGGAACUGAGACACGGUCCAAACUCCUACGGGAGGCAGCAGUGAGGAAUAUUGGUCAAUGGGCGAUGGCCUGAACCAGCCAAGUAGCGUGAAGGAUGACUGCCCUAUGGGUUGUAAACUUCUUUUAUAAAGGAAUAAAGUCGGGUAUGCAUACCCGUUUGCAUGUACUUUAUGAAUAAGGAUCGGCUAACUCCGUGCCAGCAGCCGCGGUAAUACGGAGGAUCCGAGCGUUAUCCGGAUUUAUUGGGUUUAAAGGGAGCGUAGAUGGAUGUUUAAGUCAGUUGUGAAAGUUUGCGGCUCAACCGUAAAAUUGCAGUUGAUACUGGAUGUCUUGAGUGCAGUUGAGGCAGGCGGAAUUCGUGGUGUAGCGGUGAAAUGCUUAGAUAUCACGAAGAACUCCGAUUGCG